AGUGAACGCUGGCGGCAGGCCUAAUACAUGCAAGUCGAACGGCAGCACGGCAGAGCUUGCUCUGUGGGUGGCGAGUGGCGGACGGGUGAGGAAUACAUGGGAAUCUGCCCAGUCGUGGGGGAUAACGUAGGGAAACUUACGCUAAUACCGCAUGCGCCCUUCGGGGGAAAGCCGGGGACCUUCGGGCCUGGCGCGAUUGGAUGAGCCCAUGUCGGAUUAGCUAGUUGGCGGGGUAAUGGCCCACCAAGGCGACGAUCCGUAGCUGGUCUGAGAGGAUGAUCAGCCACACUGGAACUGAGACACGGUCCAGACUCCUACGGGAGGCAGCAGUAGGGAAUAUUGGACAAUGGGCGCAAGCCUGAUCCAGCCAUGCCGCGUGAGUGAAGAAGGCCCUCGGGUUGUAAAGCUCUUUUGUCCGGAAAGAAAAGCGCCGGGUUAAUACCCUGGUGUCCUGACGGUACCGGAAGAAUAAGCACCGGCUAACUUCGUG
RNAcentral lists this ribosomal RNA (490 nucleotides) under uncultured bacterium. RNAcentral's name for it is "bacterial SSU rRNA". It matches the Rfam family "Bacterial small subunit ribosomal RNA", at positions 29 to 507 of the family's 1533-position model. The record is from RNAcentral.